RNAcentral lists this ribosomal RNA (429 nucleotides) under Bacteroidota bacterium. RNAcentral's name for it is "Bacteroidetes bacterium partial 16S ribosomal RNA". It matches the Rfam family "Bacterial small subunit ribosomal RNA", at positions 355 to 776 of the family's 1533-position model. The record is from RNAcentral. Lineage: Bacteria; Pseudomonadati; Bacteroidota.
UAGGGAAUCUUCCGCAAUGGACGCAAGUCUGACGGAGCAACGCCGCGUGAGUGAAGAAGGAUUUCGGUUCGUAAAACUCUGUUGUUAGAGAAGAACAGCGCAUAGAGUAACUGUUAUGCGUGUGACGGUAUCUAACCAGAAAGCCACGGCUAACUACGUGCCAGCAGCCGCGGUAAUACGUAGGUGGCAAGCGUUGUCCGGAUUUAUUGGGCGUAAAGCGAGCGCAGGCGGUCAAUUAAGUCUGAUGUGAAAGCCCCCGGCUCAACCGGGGAGGGUCAUUGGAAACUGGUUGACUUGAGUGCAGAAGAGGAGGGAGGAAUUCCAUGUGUAGCGGUGAAAUGCGUGGAUAUAUGGAGGAACACCAGUGGGGAAGGCGACUGUCUGGUCUGUAACUAACGCGGAGGCUCGAAAACGUGGGUAGCAAACAGG